RNAcentral lists this RNase P RNA (280 nucleotides) under Chlamydiia bacterium. RNAcentral's name for it is "RNase P RNA component class A". It matches the Rfam family "Bacterial RNase P class A". Rfam says of the family: Ribonuclease P (RNase P) is a ubiquitous endoribonuclease, found in archaea, bacteria and eukarya as well as chloroplasts and mitochondria. Its best characterised activity is the generation of mature 5'-ends of tRNAs by cleaving the 5'-leader elements of precursor-tRNAs. Lineage: Bacteria; Pseudomonadati; Chlamydiota; Chlamydiia. The record is from RNAcentral.
AGGGAAGGUAAGGUGGUUGCGUGUUGAUUCAACACGAGGAAAGUCUGGACUUCCAAGAAAAAGGCACCAGAGAAAUCCUGGGCAUCGUAAGGUGACGGAAAGUGCAACAGAAACUAUACUGAGGCAACUCAGGUGAAAUGACCGGUCUGUAGAGAUGCUGACUUUUGUAAACCCUGCCUGAAGCAAGUUUUGAACGCUUGAGCGGCUAAGUAAUUUGCCGCCUAGAUAGAUAACUGCCAUCUAUAUGAUACAGAAUCCAGCUUAUUAACCUUCCCUAUUU